GGGGCUGAUGUGGUUUCGACUACGUGAGUUGACGCAGGGGAAGCGUGCCGGUGCAGGCCGACGACCACCGUGAGCGUCGUGGCAACCAAUUAAGCGCCGAUACCAAUCAGCGCGACUACGCCCUCGCUGCCUGAUAGCGAGCCCGUAGUCUGUCGGCCCGGGGUCGCCCUCGCCCCGGUCCCCGGCAUCAUCUAGAGGGAUCACCGGCUCACCCGGUCACGGGGUGGGUCGGGACAUCCAACAGUGACUGGGAUCGUCAUCGCCGAGGAGUCCGCGCCAGGGCGAGAUCCGAGUAGAGGCCAGAUGCGGACUGCGCACGGAGAAGCCCUGCCGACGCUGCGGAGGACCCGGGUUCAAUUCCCGGCAGCUCCACCA
RNAcentral lists this transfer-messenger RNA (375 nucleotides) under Mycobacteriaceae. Its description in RNAcentral is "Dietzia sp012841845 Standard tmRNA". It matches the Rfam family "transfer-messenger RNA". From Rfam's summary of the family: Bacterial tmRNA, also known as 10Sa RNA or SsrA, is named for its dual tRNA and mRNA-like properties. Its role is to liberate the mRNA from a stalled ribosome. Lineage: Bacteria; Bacillati; Actinomycetota; Actinomycetes; Mycobacteriales. The record is from RNAcentral. RNAcentral also lists the same sequence under 1 other name.